UGAGGAAUAUUGCGCAAUGGACGAAAGUCUGACGCAGCAACGCCGCGUGCAGGAUGAAGGCCCUUUGGGUUGUAAACUGCUGUAGCAGGGGAAUAAGUUCUCCCUCGGGGAGAGUGAAGGUACCCUGAAAGUAAGCGCCGGCUAACUACGUGCCAGCAGCCGCGGUAAUACGUAGGGCGCAAGCGUUGUCCGGAUUCACUGGGUGUAAAGGGUGCGCAGGCGGGAAGGUAAGUUAGAGGUGAAAUCUCACGGCUCAACCGUGAAACUGCCUUUGAUACUGCUUUUCUUGAGUUAGGGAGAGGUUGAUGGAAUUCCAGGUGUAGCGGUGAAAUGCGUAGAUAUCUGGAAGAACACCGGUGGCGAAGGCGGUCAACUGGCCCUAAACUGACGCUCAUGCACGAAAGACGUGGGGAUCAAACAGGAUUAGAUACCCUGGUAGUCCACGCCCUAAACGAUGAAUACUUGGUGUUGGCCUUUUUGGUCUAGUGCCG
Molecule: ribosomal RNA, 491 nt
Filed under: uncultured bacterium
Lineage: Bacteria
Description: bacterial SSU rRNA
Rfam family: Bacterial small subunit ribosomal RNA
Source: RNAcentral